AUUGAACGCUGGCGGCAGGCCUAACACAUGCAAGUCGAGCGGAUGAAGGGAGCUUGCUCCUGGAUUCAGCGGCGGACGGGUGAGUAAUGCCUAGGAAUCUGCCUGGUAGUGGGGGAUAACGUCCGGAAACGGGCGCUAAUACCGCAUACGUCCUGAGGGAGAAAGUGGGGGAUCUUCGGACCUCACGCUAUCAGAUGAGCCUAGGUCGGAUUAGCUAGUUGGUGGGGUAAAGGCCUACCAAGGCGACGAUCCGUAACUGGUCUGAGAGGAUGAUCAGUCACAAUGGAACUGAGACACGGUCCAGACCCCUACGGGAGGCAGCAGGGGGGAAUUUUGGAAAAUGGGCGAAAGCCUGAUCCAGCCAUGCCGCGUGUGUGAAGAAGGUCUUCGGAUUGUAAAGCACUUUAAGUUGGGAGGAAGGGCAGUAAGUUAAUACCUUGCUGUUUUGACGUUACCAACAGAAUAAGCACCGGCUAACUUCGUG
RNAcentral lists this ribosomal RNA (484 nucleotides) under uncultured bacterium. Its description in RNAcentral is "partial 16S ribosomal RNA". It matches the Rfam family "Bacterial small subunit ribosomal RNA", at positions 30 to 507 of the family's 1533-position model. The record is from RNAcentral.